This 41-nucleotide transfer RNA is filed under the name Chlorophytum andongense. RNAcentral's name for it is "partial tRNA-Phe". The record is from RNAcentral. Lineage: Eukaryota; Viridiplantae; Streptophyta; Magnoliopsida; Asparagales; Asparagaceae.
GUCGGGAUAGCUCAKUUGGUAGAGCAGAGGACUGAAAAUCU